This 261-nucleotide ribosomal RNA is filed under the name uncultured archaeon. RNAcentral's name for it is "partial 16S ribosomal RNA". It matches the Rfam family "Archaeal small subunit ribosomal RNA", at positions 748 to 1008 of the family's 1478-position model. The record is from RNAcentral.
CAGCCGUAAACUAUGCGCGUUAGGUGUACUGGUGACCACGAGUCACCGGGGUGCCGAAGGGAAACCGUGAAACGUGCCGCCUGGGAAGUACGGUCGCAAGGCUGAAACUUAAAGGAAUUGGCGGGGGAGCACCACAACGGGUGGAGCUUGCGGUUUAAUUGGACUCAACGCCGGAAAUCUCACCGGAUAGGACAGACAUAUGAUAGUCGGGCUGAAGACUCUACUUGAUGAUCUGAGAGGAGGUGCAUGGCGUCAGUGACU